RNAcentral lists this long non-coding RNA (1820 nucleotides) under Fragaria vesca (wild strawberry). RNAcentral's name for it is "long non-coding RNA (FVES_LNC003735)". The record is from RNAcentral. Lineage: Eukaryota; Viridiplantae; Streptophyta; Magnoliopsida; Rosales; Rosaceae.
AGAAAUAACCAAAAGCCAACCAUGCAUUUUUAUCUUUUUUUGGUUACAACAGGAAACUAAAAGACCCAAAAACAAAAAGAAAAGAGACUAAAUACUGGAAUAAACUCCAGUUUCUCUAGCUCCUAAUUAACUACAUGUCAGAAAGAUCAUCUCAGUAACCAAGCUUGAGCCGCAUGAGCAAGAGGAUCAUCAAAAGCAAUCAAGCCUAAACCAAGGCAUCUGUAACCAUGUUUACAAUCUCUAAAAAAGUAAGACAGUCAUCAAUAGUAAUUGAGAAGUGCAUGUUGUGGUGGAUACAACGAUAAUUACAAGGGAAAAAGACCAUUUGCACAAAAUCAAAAAAAUCAAACCUCAUUCCAAUGAUAAUCUUUUUUGUUAGUCCACUUAAAUAUAAGGUACUUCUUUUAUGUCCAAAUGCACAAAUCUUUAUUAAAAUCUUAAUAUAAUAAUAAUUUUGAAGACUUUUUUACCCUUAGUUUUAAUUUAAGAGAGAAAGUGGAAGAGAGGGAGGGAAAACUAUGUCGGAAGCACACCAGACUCCGGCCGCUGGACUCUGGACACCGGCUGCCGGAUUCCGGUCACCGACCGCCAAAAAAUUUCUGACCGCCGGAAAAUAGUCGGAAUCUCACGGGAUUUUUUUAAGAAAAAAUGUUACCGGAAUCCAUCAAAUCUUACCGGAAGUAUACCGGCAAAAAAUCCCCUAGUAAACUAUUACUGGGGGUAGUAAAGUUGCAAAACAGUAUCUCCAAUGCAAUAAUACACAUUAAAACAAAGAAAAUUGACUCAGAUAUGAAAAAAAUAAAGUUUAACUGGGGGUAGUAAAUUUUCAUUAAAGUUUACUACCCCUAGUAAACUUCAACUGGGGGGUAGUAACAUGCAAAACAAUAUCUCCAAAGGUCAUAAUACACAUUAAAACAAGAAAAAAAAUCAACUUAAAUGCAAAAAAAUAAAGUUUACUGGGGUAGUAAAUUUUUCAAUAAAGUUUAUUACCCCUAGUAAACCUCUACUGGAGGUAGUUAACUUGUAAAAUAGUAUUUCCAAAUGUCAUAAUACACAUUAAAACGGAGAAAAAUCAACUUCGAUGCGAAGAAACAAAGUUUACUGCCCCUAGUAAUCUUCUAUUAGGGGUAAUACUAGGAGUAGUAAACUUGUCGUACAACAGUAUUAGUGGUAAAGAAAGAGAGAACAUAAAGAAAAGAUGAGAAAAAAGUGUUGUUAAACCUAAUAACAAACUUAUUACCUCUAGUAAUAUAUUUUUCACUCUAACUUUUCACUUUUCUGCAAAACUUUAUCCCCUAGUAACUUCACUUUAAUUAGAGACGCAGUCGUUGUUUUCCAAAAAUGCUGUGCAACCAAGCAAGAACGGCUGCGCCAGUGAGUUGCGUGACGGAGAUCAGAGAUCGGCUCACAUUUCCGACACCUCUGGUUUUGAUGGUUAGAGAUCGGAGCUCCACUGCUCGACGCGACCGCGCUGGUGAAGAAGCAUCGAUGAAGCUUGUGCUGGAGUCGGCAGAUCUGAGAACUUUGCUGGCGGAUCUGAGAACGUUGCAGGCAACCUCAACCUCGUCAGUGGCGGAGGCGCGUUGGAGAUGUGAGAAAGAGGACAAAUGGACUCGAUGACGUUGCAGGUGGAGGAGAUCGGGUGCGGUCGAGUUCGGCUAUGAGGCCGACGAAGAUGAACGGCGGAGCUUUUUGGAGAGAGAGAGAGAGAGAGAGAGAGAGAGAGAGAGAGAGAGAGAGAGAGAGAGAGAGAGAGAGAGAGAGAGAGAGAGAGAGAGAGAGAGAGAGAGAGAGAGAGAGAGAGAGAGAGAGAGAGAGAG